RNAcentral lists this ribosomal RNA (270 nucleotides) under uncultured bacterium. RNAcentral's name for it is "partial 16S ribosomal RNA". It matches the Rfam family "Bacterial small subunit ribosomal RNA", at positions 524 to 776 of the family's 1533-position model. The record is from RNAcentral.
UACGGGGGGGAGCGAGCGUUAUUCGUCAUGACUGGGCGUAAAGGAGAUCUGUAGGUGGUUUAAGAAAAUUUUACUUGUAAAGCCUUAUGGGAAGACAUUGGGAGUAUGGUGAUUAUUUUUUCUUUGACUGUGAGUAUACUGGAUGGUUUGUGCAGUACCCACAGAGGAGAGGUGGAAUUCGGAGAUACUGCUGGGGACUCGCAUUAUGUGAAAACGGCAACCGUCGGUAUUACUGACGCUUGAGGGAUGAAAGCAUGGGGAGCAAACAGG